Molecule: transfer RNA, 73 nt
Organism: Ipomoea nil (Japanese morning glory)
Lineage: Eukaryota; Viridiplantae; Streptophyta; Magnoliopsida; Solanales; Convolvulaceae
Rfam family: tRNA
About the family: Transfer RNA (tRNA) molecules are approximately 80 nucleotides in length. Their secondary structure includes four short double-helical elements and three loops (D, anti-codon, and T loops).
Source: Rfam
GGGUAUGUAGCUCAGAUGGUAAAGCGCUUGCUUAGCAUGCGAGAGGUACGGGGAUCGUUACCCCGCAUCUCCA